CCGUUUUCGCUCGUUUUCGUUCGUUUGACCUCCGAUUCAUCUCAAAUCGAACCGAGGCUCUAUAAACAUGUUUUCGAGCACGAUCUCAUCAUCUUUUCAUCCACGCUAAUGCCGGAUUUAGCUCAUGGUCCAACAUAGCCUUUCGGGUCCCGUUUUCACGCCUACGCGCACCGAAAACGUCAAUCUCGCAUUGUUUCGACUCCAAUUCACACCGAGCAAUGCUAAAACCUUUCGAACCUCAUUGGAACUCACUUUUAACCCUUCCAACACUGUUGGAAUGUUAAAUAGACUUCGUCCGACCAUUUCUCUUGAGUACUUUAGUCGAUUUGGCUAAAGUCCUCAAUAUUCUACCGAGAUCUCGGGGGUUACACAAAUGGUGCAAGAAUCUGCACUUGGCAGAUUUGCUUUCGGAGACCGGUCCCUGGCGGGAGGGACCGAUUCCCGAACGUGGUUUGCGCGAGCAUGCUCUCGGGGACCGGUCCCAAGAGAGAGGGACCGGUUGCCCCG
Molecule: long non-coding RNA, 507 nt
Filed under: Ananas comosus (pineapple)
Lineage: Eukaryota; Viridiplantae; Streptophyta; Magnoliopsida; Poales; Bromeliaceae
Description: long non-coding RNA (ACOM_LNC043310)
Source: RNAcentral